GAGUUGUGGCUACAACACUGCUGGUGUAAGAGUCGUGGCUACAACACUGCUGGUGUAAGAGUCGUGGCUACAACACUGCUGGUGUAAGAGUCGUGGCUACAACACUGCGGGUUUGUAAGAGUCGUGGCUACAACACUGCUGGUGUAAGAGUCGUGGCUACAACACUGCUGGUGUAAGAGUCGUGGCUACAAUACUGCUGAGGUAACAUCCUUAUCUUCGUCUCUAUCAGGAUCUCUGGCAGAGAACUUGGUAACUAAGAUGAGGUUGGAAGUGUGUAUUGUGGCAGUGAUGGCAGCAAUGGUAGGCAGCAGGUCGACGACAGGAGGCAGCAGAGAAGAGAGAUACUUCUUUACUAAUCUUAAGAACCCAAUUAAGUUCUGCUUAUUACUUAACAUGCCACUAUCUCUGGCACUGCCGACACUGGCACCUGUCAACGGACGGUCCUUACAGCUAAGCAGCGUCGUGGUAGACAAGACAGUUCCUGAGGACCUCUCUUGGGACCCUUCUUACGAACACUCCUUGAGUCGUCUCUCUCUCUACUUCGACCAGCU
Non-coding RNA from Cherax quadricarinatus, 551 nucleotides. The record is from RefSeq and is a predicted model, not a curated record. Lineage: Eukaryota; Metazoa; Arthropoda; Malacostraca; Decapoda; Parastacidae.